RNAcentral lists this transfer RNA (93 nucleotides) under Xylaria sp. CBS 124048. RNAcentral's name for it is "tRNA-Val". It matches the Rfam family "tRNA". From Rfam's summary of the family: Transfer RNA (tRNA) molecules are approximately 80 nucleotides in length. Their secondary structure includes four short double-helical elements and three loops (D, anti-codon, and T loops). Lineage: Eukaryota; Fungi; Ascomycota; Sordariomycetes; Xylariales; Xylariaceae. The record is from RNAcentral.
AGUCGUAUGGUCUAAUGGUUAUGAUUUCUCGUUCACAUGCUUAUGUGUACUUUAAACCCGAGAAGGUUCCGUGUUCGAUCCACGGUACGACUA